CACACCUAGAUAAUAGAUAAACAAUCACUUGGCAAAUAUUGGAGAAGCAAUUGAAACACAAUGCCAUAUAUCUAUGCCCCAGGCUGUAUUUAAAUAGCCCGAGGUGGGAAUAAAGAGGUCUAAAGUGCCUUGAAUAGUUAAAAAGCUCUUUCCAAGAAAGGAUGCAAUCAGUUGUCAGUAGGUGUUCCAAACACAAGAGAAUACCCAGUUUCUAUUGCAUCUGUUUCUUUUGCGUCUGUCCUCUCCCAGCAAGAGCCUCUUCUCCACAAGCACUGGCAACUUCUCUGCCUUCCCACCCCCGUGCUGCUCUUCCAGUCAGCAGCCCGGCUCUGUGCUGGGUAUUCGAACUGCUUGGAAAUCCUCCUGCCUGCACAAGAACAGCCAUAAUGUCCUGCAGAGCUGGCGUGUGUGAUUUCUUGAGAACAGCGGUUGCGUUUCCUCUUCGUAACUCUGUGGUGCCAAUGGGCAUGUGGAAAACCUUGGUAGAAACCAUCCCUUUGGUGUGUGAGGUUGCCACAGCAGGGCUUACUGACAGGGACUUGAAACUUGCCUCCGCUUUACUCUCAGUUCCACAUUUUUGCUGCAACAGUUGUGUCGAGGCCCAGAAUCACUUCACAGGAUGAGGUCUCUUGCAGUGUUUUGUCUGAAUUCACAGGGACCAGAGAGGCCCCUAGGUAGGAUGGUAUUUGUCUUUGCUCAAUAUGUCUUGCUCGAACAGUUAGCAUUGUGUUAAGUGGUAGAAACUUUAGUUAGCUUGAAAGCUGAAGCAUAGACAAAUGGAGUGGGCUGAUUCUAACUGACUCAGCAGCUGUUUUUCAUGGAUAGGUAAAACAAAGUCUUUGUGGGCAGGGUAUUCUUUUGCAUAAUCUGCUAUAGAAGUUCCAGAUGUUUUUUCUUUGCAGUGUUUCUUUGCAGAUGUUAUUUUUUUCUCGCAUUUCUUCCUAUUUCUAUACAAAGAAAGAUUUUUGCUGAAUUGUUCUGAGCAUUUUAAAUCUGUUGUACAUGCUCACCAAAUACUCCUUUUUUGUUGUUGUUUGUCGGGGGACUGUUGUCAUGCAUCCCAGAACAGGUUUGGAUCCAUCCAGAGUCAUGCUUCUGAAUAACUGUAACGGUGGAGAUGUGACUGUGCCUUACCACUGCCUAUGUAGUAAAGAAGGAAUAUCCUCAGACUUGGAUCUUUGCAUCCUAAAGCAUGGUAUUGGAGGGGAAUCGUGUGCCAUAUCUUCCUGCUUUCCAAUCCAAGAUGCCAAAGUCUACCGGAGCACACAGUUGACUAGUAUAAAAUGAUACAUGCAGACCAGAAGUGGAAUACAUAUUGAUCAGAAGUUGAGUACGUGCUGACAAACCACCUCAAAAAAAACACAGUAACUCAGUUGGCUGGAUCCAUAUGGAGCUGAUGAACCUCUGAAUGAAUAGUGAAUGGAAAAACUGCUGGAAUCUGCCUUCAGCUUUGUUCCCAGGAUGACCAAUGUAAAAGGCCUAAGAGCAAUACUGCACAGAUGGUGUAAAGAGGGCUCCACCUGAAACCAGAUAUUGAUAUCCUCUUUCUUUGAGCAUGGUGGAGACACCUUCAAAAGUGGGUAAUUAAGAUGAUCCUUAUUUUGAUCUGAGCUUAUCUUCUAGAAAAGGUCCAAGAACAAACAGCCACGAAGACUUUGGUGCCAGCAGGCAGUUGCAGACUAGUAAAAGCUUCAGAUCCGAACAUUACUAGAAGAGAAAUUGACCAGCUGUUAAUAAUUCCCAGAACCCUAUUUCCAGAAAGUAUCAAUUCUCUCCAAGGUCACCUUUUAAGAGGCAGUGAGCUGUGUCGUACUGUUUGAAGGAUCCUGAAAACUUGCUGCUGAACAGCAUUCAGUGUGGCAAAGGAGUAGAAAAUGUCUUCUCUUACCUGCUGACAGUUGAGUGACCCAGCUGUAACUCCUUCCUUGCUGCUGCUCCUACUACACUGACAAAGGAGAGGAAACAUUUGCAGCAAGCCCUGCAGCAGAGAAUGGAUCCAUAGGGUACUUGGCUACAUGGUGCUGUCUGGGGCCCAGUUUAACCUCACCUUGUCUUUCCAGCAGUCCCAGAACUCUUGAAAAAUGUGGGUGGAGAUCCAUUACACAUGCUUACUCGCCAUGAAAAACAGUGUGAACAGCCAACACAGACUCCAGGUGGUGGAUCAGCAUUAAUCAUAAUAGACCCAGGGGCAGAGGAUUGGCAGGAUACCACAAGAAAUGGUUGUAUGUCCAUCUCCUUGAACUCUGUGACCUCUGGUGGGGGACAGAGAUAUGAAGGCCGGUGUCGCUGGCUUUGUCUUCUAUUCCAGCUAUCAUAAACCACGAUGUGCUGUACGUAUGUAUCCUUUUGCCUGCAGGAAAGGGGUGUGUGAUGUAAUCCUCUGGUAGUAGAUAUAGGCAUUCUGGACUUUUUUGAGAGCUUUCACAGAAAGAAAGGUAGAAACAUGUCCUUCAAAUUCAGUUGGAUUUACUAGGAGCAGCUUUCAUUUUGUCACAUACCAGCCUAAACGCUCAUGUAGAUGAUAAGCCAGAAAAAUGAAUAUCUCCUCUUUCCUCUCUUCCUCACUUAUCUGUUUGCAUGUAUUUCUUCCUGUCUGACCCAGAAAGAGAAAUGGUGUGGAUGUGGAGAAAUAGAAGCAGGAGCGUUCAGCACAGUGGUGGUGUGCUCACAACAGGCCAGUUGUGUGAGAUAUGCAAGCCUUGUACCAACUAGCAAGAGAAGAAGUGUGGGCUUGUGGUCGGCAUUGUGGCCGAGCUGUAGCUGGUAGAGCAGCUGCAGAGGCAGCCGGGCCGAGCUGGCUGUGAGGAGAUGGGGAAGUAGAUGGGCUCUGGCCAGUGCCCAUCCCUCCCCCUUCCCUCCACACAGAGUUGUGCAGGGAGCUCUUUUGUUCAGAGGAUGUUAGGACACAAGCGGUGCCUCCUCUGAACCACAGAGAGGAACAGCUACCAGAGUUGCUGAAAUGGGGACUGCUAGAUACUGUGACAGCUUGCUGCAGUUCUGGAGGAUUUUCUGCGCCCCAUCCUCUUUCACUGGAGCUCCAGCUCCAUCUUCCCACUCCCCACAGCCCUUUCACUUCCUAUGUGCUCCAAGUCUAUUCUGUUUUAUCUUUAGUUCUCCUAGCCUGUGUCUCCUUACAUCUUUCCAUAUUAAUCCCUUCUCUCUUUUCCCUGUCAGGAAAAAAACAAACAAACAAACAAACCAAGAGUGGAACUCUUUCCAGGUUCUGUUUCCAGGUUGUUUCUGUUGAACACGUUUGCAUGUUGGGUUACUGCAUUUCCUCCAGCCUCCAUCGCUCUUUGUUUUGCCUGUGAGAGCUCCAGGCAGGGGCUGGCUGCAGCUCGGUGUGUACAGAGCCUACUGAGGCUGAAGGCGCUCCGUUCUCAGUAGUCCUUAGGCACUGAUGUUGUAAGCAGAAUUAAUAGUGAUUUGACUGGAUGCAAUUGCCAGUGUGGCCACAGACUUACAAUGUAACUGUGGGAAAAUGAGUCUCUUGGUGUCUCUGAUCGCUAUCUGUAAAAUAAUACUUUCCUUCCAGCCUUUAAGUAAGAAUACCUGGUUAAAACUAAAUUGGAUUUUUAAAUCUCUUCCACCGUUAUUAAUCUUUUGUGUGAUUAGCAAGGCAAGUUAGCUAUGCAGUUGCUUUUAAAUGGUAAAUUUCAGUCUUACCUGUCUGCUUCUCAGAUAUUCUGUGUUGCCAGCAUGUGAUGUGUACUGAUUUGCAGUUCAUGUGUCCAUGUGUGUACACAACAUGCUUACGUCAGCUACCUUACUGCUCCUCCUUUUGAGGAUCCCUCUGGAAAACUGCAAGAAUAAGGCAUCUCAGAAAAGACUCUUGCAAGCUUUGUGUCUUUCUACCAACUUGAGUCUGCUGUAGCUGCACAAGGAGGGAAAGUAUAACAGUGAAGACACAUGUAUCUGUGCGUUCACAUGACUGGCACAUUUGUAAACUAGAAAGGAGACAACAGUCAGAGCUUAUUGCUACUGCGUGCUAUCACUCAACAGCGUUACUCAUGUGGAACAGUGCGAUGAGUGCAGGGCAAUGUGUGCUAAAAUCCUACUUACAUAUCUCAUGGAAAUAAAAUAUGUGCUAUUAAUUAUGAAUCACAAAUAUAUUUUAAGAUCCUCUGAUUAAAGGCAGUAUUGAAAUAUAAAGCAUUACAACAGAACUGUGCUAAUUUGCAUGGUUGACUGGGAGACCCUUUGUGGUUGAAUUAAUUUUGCAAUUUAGUAAGUUAACAUACACAGUACAGCAAAGCUCAUGCAUUACAAAUUGCAAUUAUUCAGUGUAUUUUGACAACAGUAUCUCUAUUUUAGUUAUUUACAAUGCUUAAUGACUUCCUAGUGGUUGCUCAAUAGCAUCUCUUUUAUGAAAAUCAAUGACAUCUUAUUCAGACAGUCAGAAAGGGGUCAGGCAUAUGGGGAUGCUGGGCAGAGACUAAGGUAGGGGUCCCUUUCUUCUCUCACCUGCACACUGGCUGCUUGCCAGUGCUGUCUAGCUCAGCCUGCUGUCUCUUCUCCAAAGAGCCUAUACAACCAGCACUAGGUCUUGAUUAUGGACUAAAGAGAGAUAUUCUUUGUAUAUAAUGCAUGGCGUACAGAUUAGUGUGACCCAUACAAUGGUUUUGUUGGUACGUGCUUGUUAGUGGUCAAAUAAUAGAUGAAAAGAUGCUUUGUCUGUAAAUCUAUGUUUACAAGUUUGGAAAUAUAGUCACCAUAAAGAGCCAGGAUUGAUCCCAGGCAUUGCUGGGAGGUGCAGUUCCUAUAGGUAGGGUAUGAAGGGGACAUGACUGGGGAGCACAGCACUGUGUCCCUGCCAAGGGAGUGGAAUGGACGCCUGGUGCAGCUCAGCACCACUGAUAGAAAUCACUGAGUAAGAAUGUCUUGUUUGUGGAUGUGUUGUUUCCCUGCUCAGGGAAGAAGGAGUGCUCAAGUCUGAAAUACUCCACAUCAGUUCCUAGUGUUUCAGCAAAGAUGUGCCCUCGCAGCCCAGAAAGCCAACUGUAUCCUGGGCUACAUCAAAAGAAGUUUGGCCAACAGGUUGAGUGGGGUGAUCCUGGCCCCCUGCUCUGAGCUGUUGAGACUUCACCUGGAACACUGCAUCCAAGUGUGGAGUCCUUGGUACAGGAGAGACUUGUUGGAGCGUGCCCAGAGGAGGGCCACAAAAGUGACCCAAGGGAUGGAACACCUCUUCUAUGAGGACAUGCUGAGAGAGCUGGGGUUCAGCCUGGAGAAGAGAAGGCUCUGAGUUGACCUGAUAGUGGCCUUUCAGUAUCUACAGGGGAGCUACAAGAAAGAAGGGGACGGACUCUUUAGCAGGAUCAGUGAUAAUAGGACAAGGGAAAAUGGUUUCAAACUAAAAGGAUAGAUUUAAGUUGGAUAUAAGGAAAUAGUCUUUUACAGUGAGAGUGGUGAGGCACUGGCACAGGUUGCCCAGUGAUGUGGGGGAUGCCCCAUCCCUGGAGAUGCUCAAGGUCAGGCUGGACAGGGCUUUGUGCAACCUGAUGUCACUGUAGGUGUCCCUGUUGAUUGCAGGGAAGUUAGUCUAGAUGGCCUUAAAAGGUCCCUUCCAUCUCAAUUGAUUCUGUGAUUCUAAAGUAAAAGUGAGGAUCUUUGGUAUUUGACAAAUGGUAUUUGCUCAAAUGACACAAAUAGUCAGUCUUUCAGAGGAUACAAUUUUAAAUAUCAAAUUGUUUGUUGUACAGGUGUUAGUAUUUAAAAUACUUGCUGCUAAGUAAAAAAUACCUUACAACCUAGCAACCCAAUGAGCAAGAUCUCCUAAAGUUGUGAUAAGACUCUACCUCAUGUAGUUCCCCUUUUUGGCCCGAUGGAUCUGAAAUUUGCACUCUCAAAAUUAACAGGAAACCAUCUGGAUUUUCUUUGAGCUCAGCACAUGAGAUUAUAUCCCUUUUUUUUUCUGACCAGCAGCAUCAUCUCUCCAGCCCCUCUCACCAACACCUCUGGCAGAAAUGCAUUUUGAAGCUCUUUCUAUUCCAGGCAACCCAGGCAUGUGUUUUGUAAAAGUGCCAAAGCCAAUAGUUUCUGCUGUUUUCAGGGUGCUGGUGGUAGAGAAUAUUCUCUCAUAGCUUAAUGCUUCACCUGGCAUUUGAUACACAGGGCUCAGCGUUGUGAUAAGCAGUAUUUUGUUGGUUUCCUGGUACAGUGCAGGUGCCACAGGCCAUUGAACAAGUCCUUGCUCUUGCUGGACGGAUGUCUCUUUUUUCAAAGGGAAUUCCCAACCCUUUCUGCUCUGCCCAGGUGCCUGUGCUGCUGCACUAUUCCUCCUUCCACCCACAGGGAAGUCAGCACUUCCCUCAGUGCUGGGCUUGGCCUGAGGCCUACAUCACUGCUCUCACCUUGUCUUGACUAAAAGCAAAGCUUGUCCACAGCCAGUAUAAAUAUAGAUUAGGAAAUAAAGCACAGCUAUGUUCAUCAUUUCAAUCUGCAGGCUCAGCAAGGCCCUCAAUCAAGUUAGGUCUAGUACUAAUUCAUUGGGAGACCAUACGCGCUAACACAAUCCAUGUGGGUGUACCCAUCUUCUACCAAGGCACCAUCCACCAUGCUCCACCAUCUCAGGUGGUCUGUCGCCAUGGAGCCUCUGCUGUGAAGAUAAGAAGACUUGAAAAAGAUCCAUAAGACUAGGAACAACAAGAAAAAAAAUUUAGAGAUGAGUGUGUCUGAGCUUACUGUGUAUGAGACUCCUGACACACUACAUGGCCCAAGCCCUAGCCACUUCUGGGGGCACCAGAGAGCAGUCGUGACUUGGAAGCUAAACCUAACCCCAGAGUAGACGUUAGUGCUUUUGCUUCCAGAGGAACCUGGUCUCACUCUCACCUUCUUUCUUGUUAGUACCACUGUUUAUAUUUUGGGGUGUAUGAAGGGGAACAGUCGGUAUCUUGUUUUACUUUAGUCUGAGGAAAAUCUAUUUCAGUGCCUGAGGAAGGAACUGCUGGCUGCAGGUGUUCACCAAAGAUGUGUUCCUCUUUGCCCCUGUGCUCCUGGAGGGGAAUUCAGCAAAAAGGACCCACAUGUGGAGCCCAGUCCCUGACUUCCCCAAAGCUAUAUAAACACAGCAGAAAUGCCAAUGGGUCCCGGUGACCUGAGGGUGUGCCCAGAGCCUGGGGCAGAGAUACCAAAACUGGCAACCAUGGGGCCUCCAGCUGCAGGCAGCAUGGCUGUGCUGUGUGUGUGGCCUGGCUGGGCCACCUCUGGGCCUGCUGGCAUGGCCAGAACAUGGCUGUUGGUACUGGGCCGUCCCUGGGCCAGAGGUGGCUGCACUGCCCUCCUUCACAUGAGAAUGCCGCCUGUGUCGUUUCUCGAUUCAUUUCUGCCUUCCUUUCUAUAUGUUUAGGCAACUGAAACAGUGUGAAAGGUGAAGGCAGUGUUGAUAGGAGAUGUUUUAUCAGCUGGGGUUUCAAUGCGGUGUCUGAGGGCUCAGGCUGGCACUGUACAUAGUGCUGAGCAGGACUGCUCAGAUUGAUAAUAGAAAAGAACAUGAGAUGAUGCUUUCCAUCUCAGAACUACAAAGUGAGGAAGGUGAGCCUUUCCUUAAUGGCACUGAGGAAUGAUCAUAUGAAAUCACGUGAUCCCCUUUAUGUGACAUGUUUACUCUGUUUUCAAAACCUAGUUUGUGCUGGAUGUUCCUAGUUCACAUGUGAGGAAUCAUUCACAGAAACUUUCAAGGCGAUGAGCAGCAAGUAUCAAUAUGUGAAUAACGAAUGAAUAAUGCAGAGUAGUCUGAGGCACAUUUGUCACUAAUGGCUUGCUAGCAUCUCACAGGCUGUUAUUUGCCCACUUAAACUCUGACCUGGUAAAACCCUUGAACACAUGCAGGAAUAAUUUCACUAAAAAUAUUUUCAUUUACUUUCUUACCAUGUCAGUUGUUCCUGUGAAGACGAUGUGUUUACGCUCAUGCUACGGGCAUUGCAUCGGGCAUCACUCUUUCACAUACUCACAGAAAUGUUUUGUCUGUGGUGAAAUAUGUCACCUCCUUUCUUGAGCUGAAUAUUUCAUUCUGCUCAAUCACAAGUCUAAUACCAGAGUGAAUUAAGUGCAUCAACGGAUCAGGACUGAAAUCUACAAUGAAUGUGAUUACUUAAAAAUAAUCAUAUCAGCAGUAGUUUAGAGAUGUCAUUUUUUGUGGGCAUGUAUGUUCUUUGUAUGGAUAUAUAAAACAGCGUGUGGGAAUGUGAUGCUGUUUAACUCAUAAAGGGAGAGCAAAAUUUUAUUGGUCAGUGUAAAUAUUUGUUCAAGGAAAAGGAGACGAGGUGAGAACAAUCCGCAUGAAAAGAAACCACAUUAGUACCCAGAACAUUGAAAAUAUUGUUCAAGGACAGUUUAUCCUUGUGGAAAAUAUGACCCCCUGUAAAGCUGCUGAGUCUGUUUGCAGAUCAUUUCAAAAUAGAGUCCUCGCAUUUGCCAUUUUAGUUUGUUUUGGCUGUUGGUGUCCAAACUACAUUCCUAGCAAAUUGCAUGAAGUGCUUAUUCCAUUAUUUCUAUUGUUAUGUUUCUCAAUAGAAUGUGGUUAUCUUGAGCUAGUGUCAUGCUUUAGUACAUUAGCACUAAAAUGCGCUGAUGGUCUCGCAAAGAGAGUAAGGGGAGGCUGACAUUGAACUGAUACGCUAUACCUUCUGUCUGGAGAUUCCAAAGUCAGAGGUGGAUUUCAGCUUAAAAUGAAGAAGUAAUAUUUGCAUUUUUUUUUUUGUUUUAAUAAUCUGCUCUCCUCUUAUGAAACCACGACCUGUGCCAGUUCCUAUACAUUCUGCUCAAUCUCUGUCCAGGUGCCUGGAUUAGCUUGAGUGGUCCUAACUGGUUUUUGGAUGAGAGGUGUUUUAAUCUGCUCUGAAUUUAUAUUUUGCACGGCUUCAGUUUUCACAUAAUGAGCCAGCUUUAUCUGUCAUGUGCACAGUUCUGCUUUCUUCACGUCCCAGUUCAUAAUUUUGUUACAUGCCUUUUGUCCAUAGAAAAUAAAGGAAUCGGGGAACUGAAAUUGAAUUAGACCCAAAACGUGCUUGAGUUUCCUGUUUUUCUUGUAUUAAAAUACUUUUUCUAUUGAGACCCAACAUGCAGCAGUUUCCUAACCACAACCACAAGGACUGAGAGAACACGGAGUUUUGUCACACAGCACAGUGUAAGGGGCAGAUCUGAAAGUGGACUGGGG
RNAcentral lists this long non-coding RNA (9157 nucleotides) under Gallus gallus (chicken). RNAcentral describes it as "lncRNA (ENSGALG00010004088.1)". The record is from RNAcentral. Lineage: Eukaryota; Metazoa; Chordata; Aves; Galliformes; Phasianidae.